This 69-nucleotide transfer RNA is filed under the name Ictidomys tridecemlineatus (thirteen-lined ground squirrel). RNAcentral's name for it is "Spermophilus tridecemlineatus (thirteen-lined ground squirrel) tRNA". It matches the Rfam family "tRNA". Rfam says of the family: Transfer RNA (tRNA) molecules are approximately 80 nucleotides in length. Their secondary structure includes four short double-helical elements and three loops (D, anti-codon, and T loops). Lineage: Eukaryota; Metazoa; Chordata; Mammalia; Rodentia; Sciuridae. The record is from Rfam by way of RNAcentral.
GGGGUUGUGGCUCAAUGGUGGAGUACUUGCCUAGCAAGUGUGAGGCACUGGGUUCAAUUCUCAGCACCA